RNAcentral lists this unclassified non-coding RNA (314 nucleotides) under Hevea brasiliensis (rubber tree). The record is from RNAcentral. Lineage: Eukaryota; Viridiplantae; Streptophyta; Magnoliopsida; Malpighiales; Euphorbiaceae.
UGUCCCAGUAAUAUUUUCAUUUCUAUAAUAUCCACUGCCCCAACCAUCAUUGCCAUUAGACUGGGGAUCAACAACAUUUUGAGUUGAAUUUACACUUGUUAAUGCCCCAGGAGAUGCACCUGCUUUCAUUUCAUUCGAGUUUUCCCAAGUUCUUGAAUCUGUGCUCCUUGCACCGCAUUGUUGGUCUUUCAUCCCUUGAACAUGUGAUCACCAGGCAUCCCAGGUUUACUGUCAUCCAACUUCUCAGGGAGCUUCUCCAGUGUUGCAGAAUUUGCAGUUCCACUUGUAGCAUUAUUAGUUGAAUCAGCCACAUC